UGGGGAAUUUUGGACAAUGGGCGAAAGCCUGAUCCAGCAAUGCCGCGUGUGUGAAGAAGGCCUUCGGGUUGUAAAGCACUUUUGUCCGGAAAGAAAUCCUCUGGGUUAAUACCUCGGGGGGAUGACGGUACCGGAAGAAUAAGCACCGGCUAACUACGUGCCAGCAGCCGCGGUAAUACGUAGGGUGCAAGCGUUAAUCGGAAUUACUGGGCGUAAAGCGUGCGCAGGCGGGUUUGUAAGACGGAUGUGAAAUCCCCGGGCUUAACCUGGGAACUGCAUUCGUGACUGCAAGGCUAGAGUAUGGCAGAGGGCGGUAGAAUUCCACGUGGUGCAGUGAAAUGCGUAGAGAUGUGGAGGAAUACCGAUGGCGAAGGCAGCCCCCUGGGCCAAUACUGACGCUCAUGCACGAAAGCGUGGGGAGCAAACA
RNAcentral lists this ribosomal RNA (427 nucleotides) under uncultured bacterium. RNAcentral describes it as "bacterial SSU rRNA". It matches the Rfam family "Bacterial small subunit ribosomal RNA", at positions 355 to 774 of the family's 1533-position model. The record is from RNAcentral.